RNAcentral lists this ribosomal RNA (432 nucleotides) under uncultured bacterium. RNAcentral's name for it is "partial 16S ribosomal RNA". It matches the Rfam family "Bacterial small subunit ribosomal RNA", at positions 29 to 506 of the family's 1533-position model. The record is from RNAcentral.
AACGAACGCUGGCGGCAUGCCUAACACAUGCAAGUCGAACGAACCCUUCGGGGUUAGUGGCGCACGGGUGCGUAACGCGUGGGAAUCUGCCCUUUGCUUCGGAAUAACUCAGGGAAACUUGUGCUAAUGCCGGAUGAUGUCUUCGGACCAAAGAUUUAUCGGCAAGGGAUGAGCCCGCGUAGGAUUAGGUAGUUGGUGGGGUAAAGGCCUACCAAGCCGACGAUCCUUAGCUGGUCUGAGAGGAUGAUCAGCCACACUGGGACUGAGACACGGCCCAGACUCCUACGGGAGGCAGCAGUGGGGAAUAUGGGACAAUGGGCGCAAGCCUGAGCCAGCAAUGCCGCGUGAGUGAUGAAGGCCCUCGGGUCGUAAAGCUCUUUUACCAGGGAUGAUAAUGACAGUACCUGGAGAAUAAGCUCCGGCUAACUCCGU